Molecule: non-coding RNA, 94 nt
Organism: Malassezia furfur
Lineage: Eukaryota; Fungi; Basidiomycota; Malasseziomycetes; Malasseziales; Malasseziaceae
Source: the annotation of a GenBank genome assembly
GGUCUACUGGCGCAAUGGUAGCGUAUCAGCCUUCUACUUUCACGCAAAGCUAGGGGCGAGCUGAGGGUUGCGGGUUCGAGCCCCGCGUGGACCU